Molecule: long non-coding RNA, 607 nt
Organism: Condylura cristata (star-nosed mole)
Lineage: Eukaryota; Metazoa; Chordata; Mammalia; Eulipotyphla; Talpidae
Exons: 3
Source: RefSeq, a predicted model, not a curated record
GCCGACUUCGGAGGCUGUUUGCCUCGGGUCCUCCCUCCGGCGCGGGGCCCGUCCUCCGGCAGCACCCGGCGCCGCCGGCAGGAGACGGGUCCCCGCGCGCUGCGUCCAGGGUCCUUUGGGAGGAUGAGGAUGUGUCUUUCUCCCUCACAUCAUCCUGUCUUCCUCACGUCACAUCUCACCUAGGGGAGCCAAGCAUUCUCUUGUGCCAACUUUGCCUUCUGAAUGCAAAAAGCAAGCACUGAAAAUGGUCAGUUAAGGAGCAAUUGACAACAACUGCAUCUGUUUAGGAUCUACAAUGUGGCGAUCUGAUUUCACAUCUAUACAUAGUGACGACUGUUACCGUCCAACAAUAACUACUUCAUCUCACUGGUAUCUCUCGUUGUGGACAAUGAAGAGUCUUUAAGAUCUACGGGCAAAUUCCAAGCACACGAUUUGGUGUCGUCAGCCCCACGCAGACCUUCUAUCACAGGACUGAAAGAGGGGACAGUUCGCCCAGCAUCUGUCCAGAUCCCAGCCCCUGGCAGACAGCUGUCUAUGCUGUUUUCACGAGUUAGGCUUAAAAAGGAGUCUACUUGUGGCCCUCCCUGGUGGCGCAACGGGUUAAGCA